Long non-coding RNA from Ornithodoros turicata, 534 nucleotides. RefSeq lists it as uncharacterized. Lineage: Eukaryota; Metazoa; Arthropoda; Arachnida; Ixodida; Argasidae. The transcript is spliced from 3 exons. The record is from RefSeq and is a predicted model, not a curated record.
AGGAACCUCAGAGCAACGAGAAAUGCUGGAGCAAGCAUUGCUACCCUUUUCCCGGAUGUUUACGGAAAAACCAGGUUUGACCGAAGUCUUGGAACACGGCAUAGACACCGGCGACGCAAGGCCUUGGAGAUGCAACCCGCGGCCGCUUAGCGUUCAAAAGCGCAAGUUGCUCGAUGCUGCGCUGAACGAAAUGAUCGAGACGGGUGCUGUGAGACCCUAGCGCAGCCCGUGGGCCUUUCCGGUGGUACUCGCUCCGAAGAAAGAUGGAACCGCAAGGUUGUGCGUGGACUACCGCCGGUUGAACGAGGUGACGGAACACCUUUCACACCUGAAAGUGGUGUUGGGACGUAUGCAAGCUGCUGGGUUGACGGUCAAUCCUCGAAAGAUGCAGUUGGCGACUAACCGCAUCGACCUGCUCGGGUUUACAGUGGAGUCCGGCACGGUCAGGCCGAACGAGGACAAGCUGAAGGCUACCCUAGACUACCCUCGCCCGCAGGAGGUAAAGAGCUUGCAGCGCUUCCUUGACAGACGCGA